UGGAUCACCUCCUAACAGGGAGACAACACAAUGAUUUUGAUGCCUGAGUGUUUUUAUUCUUAGGCCGAAAUCCUGUCACCUUAGGUCGAUCGGUACCUCAGCUUUGAAGUUAAGGAUCAGCAGUAAUGUUGAUUGCUUGAUGGAGAUUUUCAGUUCCUAAACUUUGUCUAGGUCACACCCCAAAAGGGAUGAGGCUCCUGGGCCAUUAGCUCAGGUGGUUAGAGCGCACCCCUGAUAAGGGUGAGGUCCCUGGUUCAAGUCCAGGAUGGCCCAUUCGGUGUUGGGGGUUUAGCUCAGUUGGUAGAGCGCCUGCUUUGCAAGCAGGAUGUCAGGAGUUCGAGUCUCCUAACCUCCACUGACCGAACUUUAUCCCCAUCUCCAAGUUAUGGAGUUGAGCUCGAUUGGAGUGUGAUUUAGACGUGUCCGCUGGAUGACCCUAGCUUCCUGCCAUUCCAAGUUUUAAGUUGAAAGCUUUGAAUUUGGUUGAUAAGAUGCUGGGCUCGAAUCAAGUGAUCAAGCAAUUGAUGAUUUGAUUUGAAGUUCUAGCAGAACCUUGACAACUGCAUAGGUGAAGUCUGGAAAAACAAAGCAUCUUACAGAUGCAUUGUUUUGAGUCUGAUCUUCUGAAAAGGAGAUUAGAACCAGAACAAUGAAAAUUCUUUUGAGCAAGAGCCGAGACUCUUGAAUGUUCUUUGAUUCGUGUCGAGCGAAUCAGAGUUUGAUCUUGUUUUUAGCGAUAAAAACUUGAGAAUCUGCUUUCAACGGCGGUAAGCGUUCAGGAGGUUAAUUGGUCAAGCUACAAAGGGCUCACGGCGGAUACCUUGGCACACAGAGGCGAUGAAGG
RNAcentral lists this transfer RNA (844 nucleotides) under uncultured Synechococcus sp. RNAcentral describes it as "partial contains 16S ribosomal RNA, 16S-23S ribosomal RNA intergenic spacer, and 23S ribosomal RNA". The stretch from base 283 to 355 matches the Rfam family "tRNA". Lineage: Bacteria; Bacillati; Cyanobacteriota; Cyanophyceae; Synechococcales; Synechococcaceae. The record is from RNAcentral.